RNAcentral lists this ribosomal RNA (409 nucleotides) under Actinomycetes bacterium. RNAcentral's name for it is "Actinobacteria bacterium partial 16S ribosomal RNA". It matches the Rfam family "Bacterial small subunit ribosomal RNA", at positions 355 to 776 of the family's 1533-position model. Lineage: Bacteria; Bacillati; Actinomycetota; Actinomycetes. The record is from RNAcentral.
AGGGGAAUAUUGCACAAGGGGCGGAAGCCUGAUGCAGCGACGCCGCGUGGGGGAUGAAGGCCUUCGGGUUGUAAACUCCUUUCGACAGGGAAGAAGCUUUUGUGACGGUACCUGUAUAAGAAGCACCGGCUAACUACGUGCCAGCAGCAGCGGUAAUACGUAGGGUGCGAGCGUUGUCCGGAAUUACUGGGCGUAAAGAGCUCGUAGGUGGUUUGUCGCGUCGUCUGUGAAAUUCCGGGGCUUAACUCCGGGCGUGCAGGCGAUACGGGCUGACUUGAGUGCUUUAGGGGAGACUGGAAUUCCUGGUGUGGCGGUGGAAUGCGCAGAGAUCAGGAGGAACACCGAUGGCGAAGGCAGGUCUCUGGGCAGUCACUAACGCUGAGGAGCGAAAGCAUGGGUAGCGAAAAGG